This is a long non-coding RNA of Thalassophryne amazonica, 204 nucleotides long. RefSeq lists it as uncharacterized. NCBI's taxonomy places the organism in Eukaryota, Metazoa, Chordata, Actinopteri, Batrachoidiformes, Batrachoididae. The record is from RefSeq and is a predicted model, not a curated record. The transcript has 3 exons.
CUGUGGGGAUGUUUUUCAGCAGCAGGAACUAGAAGACCAGUCAGGAUUGAGAGAAAGAUGAAUGCAGCAAUGUACAGAGACAUCCUGGAUGAAAACCUGCUCCAGAACGCUCUUGACCUCAGACUCGGGCGACAGAUCAUCUUUUAGUAGGACACUGAUAUCAAAGGAGUGGCUUCAGGACAACUCUGUGAAUGUCCUUGAUUG